This 449-nucleotide ribosomal RNA is filed under the name uncultured bacterium. Its description in RNAcentral is "partial 16S ribosomal RNA". It matches the Rfam family "Bacterial small subunit ribosomal RNA", at positions 29 to 523 of the family's 1533-position model. The record is from RNAcentral.
AACGAACGCUGGCGGCAUGCCUAAUACAUGCAAGUCGAACGAGAUCUUCGGAUCUAGUGGCGCACGGGUGCGUAACGCGUGGGAAUCUACCCUUGGGUUCGGAAUAACGUCGGGAAACUGACGCUAAUACCGGAUGAUGACGUAAGUCCAAAGAUUUAUCGCCCAAGGAUGAGCCCGCGUAGGAUUAGCUAGUUGGUGGGGUAAAGGCCUACCAAGGCGACGAUCCUUAGCUGGUCUGAGAGGAUGAUCAGCCACACUGUGACUGAGACACGGCCCAAACUCCUACGGGAGGCAGCAGUAGGGAAUAUUGGACAAUGGGGGCAACCCUGAUCCAGCAAUGCCGCGUGAGCGAUGAAGGCCUUAGGGUUGUAAAGCUCUUUUACCCGAGAUGAUAAUGACAGUAUCGGGAGAAUAAGCCCCGGCUAACUCCGUGCCAGCAGCCGCAGUAA